RNAcentral lists this transfer RNA (74 nucleotides) under Caulobacter sp. 17J65-9. RNAcentral describes it as "tRNA-Cys". It matches the Rfam family "tRNA". From Rfam's summary of the family: Transfer RNA (tRNA) molecules are approximately 80 nucleotides in length. The record is from RNAcentral. RNAcentral also lists the same sequence under 1 other name. Lineage: Bacteria; Pseudomonadati; Pseudomonadota; Alphaproteobacteria; Caulobacterales; Caulobacteraceae.
GGCCUGGUGGCGGAGUGGUUACGCAGCGGACUGCAAAUCCGUGUACCCGAGUUCGAUUCUCGGCCAGGCCUCCA